GCAGCCGCGGUAAUUCCAGCUCCAAUAGCGUAUAUUAAAGUUGUUGCAGUUAAAAAGCUCGUAGUUGAACCUUAGGCCCGUGCGGGCGGUCCGUCCUCUGGGCGAGCACUGCUCCGUCGCGGGUCUCACCUUCUGGCGAGCGUGGAUGCCAUUUAUUUGGUGUCCGCGGGAACCAGGACCUUUACCUUGAAAAAAUUAGAGUGCUCAAAGCGGGCUCCGACGCUUGAAUACAUUAGCAUGGAAUAAUGAAAUAGGACGAUGGUUCUAUUUUGUUGGUUUCCGGGGCCGUCGUAAUGAUUAAUAGGGAUAGUUGGGGGCAUUCGUAUUCAAUUGUCAGAGGUGAAAUUCUUGGAUUUAUUGAAGACGAACUACUGCGAAAGCAUUUGCCAAGGAUGUUUUCAUUAAUCAAGAACGAAAGUUGGGGGAUCGAAGACGAUCAGAUACCGUCGUAGUCUCAACCAUAAACUAUGCCGACUAGGGAUCGGAUGAUGUUAUUUUUAAUGACUC
RNAcentral lists this ribosomal RNA (507 nucleotides) under uncultured Paraglomus. RNAcentral's name for it is "bacterial SSU rRNA". It matches the Rfam family "Eukaryotic small subunit ribosomal RNA", at positions 570 to 1077 of the family's 1831-position model. Lineage: Eukaryota; Fungi; Glomeromycota; Glomeromycetes; Paraglomerales; Paraglomeraceae. The record is from RNAcentral.